Molecule: ribosomal RNA, 718 nt
Filed under: uncultured bacterium
Lineage: Bacteria
Description: bacterial SSU rRNA
Rfam family: Bacterial small subunit ribosomal RNA
Source: RNAcentral
AGAGUUUGAUCCUGGCUCAGGGUUAACGCUGGCGGUGCGCAUAACACAUGCAAGUCGAGCGAGGGCUUAUUUCUCGCAAGAGAGAUGAGUUCCUAGCGGCGAACGGGUGAGUAACACGUGGGUAACCUUUCCUAUCGCGGGGGAUAACACCGGGAAACCGAUGCUAAUACCGCAUGUCGUCACCGGCUCAUGGUUGGUGAAGAAAGCAGCAAUGCACGAUGGGGUGGGCCCGCGGCCUAUCAGCUAGUCGGUGGGGUAACGGCCUACCGAGGCGAUGACGGGUAGCUGGUCUGAGAGGACGGCCAGCCACACGGGGACUGAGACACGGCCCCGACUCCUACGGGAGGCAGCAGUGAGGAAUCUUCCGCAAUGGGCGAAAGCCUGACGGAGCGACACCGCGUGUGGGAUGAAGUCUUUCGGGAUGUAAAACCACUGUCGGAGGGGAAGAUAGUGACGGUACCCUCCAAGAAAGCCCCGGCUAACUACGUGCCAGCAGCCGCGGUAAUACGUAGGGGGCGAGCGUUAUCCAGAUUUACUGGGCGUAAAGCGCGUGUAGGCGGCUGGUUAGGUGUGAUGUGAAAUCUUCGGGCUCAACCCGAAAAAUGCAUUGCAAACCGGCCUGGCUAGAGUGCAGGAGAGGGAAGCGGAAUUCCAGGUGUAGCGGGAAAUGCGUAGAUAUCUGGAGGAACACCAGUGGCGAAGGCGGCUUCCUGGCCUG